UGGGUGAGUAACACGUGGGCAAUCUGCCCUAAAGACUGGGAUACCACUUGGAAACAGGUGCUAAUACCGGAUAACAACAUGAAUCGCAUGAUUCAAGUUUGAAAGGCGGCGCAAGCUGUCACUUUAGGAUGAGCCCGCGGCGCAUUAGCUAGUUGGUGGGGUAAAGGCCUACCAAGGCAAUGAUGCGUAGCCGAGUUGAGAGACUGAUCGGCCACAUUGGGACUGAGACACGGCCCAAACUCCUACGGGAGGCAGCAGUAGGGAAUCUUCCACAAUGGACGCAAGUCUGAUGGAGCAACGCCGCGUGAGUGAAGAAGGUUUUCGGAUCGUAAAGCUCUGUUGUUGGUGAAGAAGGAUAGAGGCAGUAACUGGUUUCUAUUUGACGGUAAUCAACCAGAAAGUCACGGCUAACUACGUGCCAGCAGCCGCGGUAAUACGUAGGUGGCAAGCGUUGUCCGGAUUUAUUGGGCGUAAAGCGAGCGCAGGCGGAAUGAUAAGUCUGAUGUGAAAGCCCACGGCUCAACCGUGGAACUGCAUCGGAAACUGUCAUUCUUGAGUGCAGAAGAGGAGAGUGGAACUCCAUGUGUAGCGGUGGAAUGCGUAGAUAUAUGGAAGAACACCAGUGGCGAAGGCGGCUCUCUGGUCUGCAACUGACGCUGAGGCUCGAAAGCAUGGGUAGCGAACAGGAUUAAAUACCCUGGUAGUCCAUGCCGUAAACGAUGAGCGCUAGGUGUUGGGGACUUUCCGGUCCUCAGUGCCGCAG
RNAcentral lists this ribosomal RNA (763 nucleotides) under uncultured bacterium. Its description in RNAcentral is "bacterial SSU rRNA". It matches the Rfam family "Bacterial small subunit ribosomal RNA", at positions 103 to 851 of the family's 1533-position model. The record is from RNAcentral.